This 120-nucleotide ribosomal RNA is filed under the name Octopus vulgaris (common octopus). RNAcentral also lists the same sequence under 1 other name. Lineage: Eukaryota; Metazoa; Mollusca; Cephalopoda; Octopoda; Octopodidae. The record is from RNAcentral.
GCUUACGGCCAUAUCACGUUGAAAGCACCGGUUCUCGUCCGAUCACCGAAGUUAAGCAAAGUCGAGCCUAGUUAGUACUUAGAUGGGGUGACCGCUUGGGAAACCUAGGUGCUGUAAGCU